CAUAACAAAAUAAACAAAAAGCACAAACAAUUUUGAUCUAGAGAUUAUGAUUUUGUGAUUGAAAGCUUUGCUCAUUUUGUUUUCUGAUGACGGAAUUUCAAGUGGUGAUGGACAUGGACUGUUGGAAACUGAUCUGAUCGACCGGACACACAAAAGUAACUUUGACCGGAUCGUGGAAUCAAAGACUCAAGACGGGAUAAUAUUAUGUAUUAUACAUGAAAGGAUUCGUCACACAUUUAAUUUGUUUACUGAAAUGGAUCUGCUGAAGAAUUACGGUUCGUCCGCGAGUAGCGAAUCUGAAGAGGAAGAAAAAGUGGAGAAAGAAGUUGACAACAAACCCACAAGACUCGAAGUGCCGUCCAGCAUAAAAUCGUUAUUUGGUGACGCUGGAGGACAACACCAGGAUGACCCCUCUCUGCACCAAGGCCGAGUUCGAGGUUUUGCUCACGAACGAGGAUUGUGGGCAGGUUUGGUGAGCAUCGAAGUUGGACCUCCAUUGGAAGACUGGACGCGUCUAUUGAAUCAAUUGUCUGAUGUCAGUCCUUGUCCGGAACCACUUCACGUAAGCCUGAGUCGACCUUUGCAACUGCGGCAUCUCUGGAUCUCCUCCCUGGUGGCCGAUUUGCGCAAACGUGCUUCCAAGCUCUUACAUUUUGAGAUAAUUUUCGGAGACGUUACCGUUUUGGUGAACGAAGAGCGAACCAGGACAUUUGUUUGUGUUGAUGCCGUGGGCAGUGGACUGGAGACGGCCUGUUCUUUAGCAGAAGCCGCCGGUGCUGAAUAUCGACUGCCUCCGUAUUACGAGGGCCGUCGAUUCCACGUCAGCAUAGGAUGGGCCCUCGGAGAUCAAGAGACUCGACUGAAAGCUGCCUUGGCCAAUUUGGUGCUGCCCUCGCCUGCCUCCUUCGCAGUGACGCAACUGCAGCUCAAAGCUGGCAACCAGCAGUACCAAAUUCCACUUCAGCAUCGAUAGCGUUCAUAAAAUAAACUUCCCUCCGAAAUCUCUGAAUGAAAAGUGCCAGUUUCCCGCUCAAAUUCAAACCGGUCGUCUCCGUCGCUCCAGCUGGCAGAGCAAAACAUUUCAAAACUCCCAAGUCGAUUAAAUAUUUGUGAGGUGAGAAGUGACCCUUUUUCUUCCGGCAAAAUGGGCAAUUCGAACGUCCGGCCGCGCACUCUGAGCAUCGAUAAUGACUUGUCCGCACCUUCCGCCGCUGCGCCUGCAACCGCCCCAAAGGCUGUGACCCCAGAACCGAUCUCGGAAAGCGUCUUCGACCCUCAGGGUGACCCUUCGGCGCAACUCGAGGCUGCCCUGGCGCCGUUCAAUCGAAGACUCUCUCGGGACGCCGCUGCACCCCUUCCACCCCAACUCGGCGAGCUCUCGCAAUGUCUGCGAGGAAAGUCUGCAGGCCUUUACUGUCUCCAACCUGCCCAUGACUUUGCAGAGGUGUCACACAUCUCACCUGCCACCCCUUGAUUUAGAAAUUUAGAAUUUAAGAAAUUAUCGCUGAUUGUGACAAUGUAAAUAUUUGAAUAAAAAGUGUUACACUUGAUCUGUUGAAAUAGA
Molecule: RNA transcript, 1564 nt
Organism: Neocloeon triangulifer
Lineage: Eukaryota; Metazoa; Arthropoda; Insecta; Ephemeroptera; Baetidae
Source: RefSeq, a predicted model, not a curated record